Molecule: long non-coding RNA, 238 nt
Organism: Dendroctonus ponderosae (mountain pine beetle)
Lineage: Eukaryota; Metazoa; Arthropoda; Insecta; Coleoptera; Curculionidae
Exons: 2
Source: RefSeq, a predicted model, not a curated record
AAUAGCAGAGAUUAGUUGAAAGUACGUAAAAAAGUGUACCGGAAUCUACCAUUGCGCCACUGUGGCGGGCACCCCGAACUAUGACUACGUUGAAGCAGCGUAGGAGAGGUGCAUUCAAUCCACCUCUUCCACGUACUUUUGCAUUGAUAUGUUCGACCGAAUCGUUAUUGCAAAGGCCUGUUGCUAACUCAAAAUUUGAAAAAUCUAAUUUAAAAUCAUCAUAAAGACUAAGCAAAGC